Molecule: long non-coding RNA, 2993 nt
Filed under: Olea europaea subsp. europaea
Lineage: Eukaryota; Viridiplantae; Streptophyta; Magnoliopsida; Lamiales; Oleaceae
Source: RNAcentral
AUUGAAGGAAGGAAUAUAUUUGCAAGCCAAUGUUUUUGAAUUGGGAAGGCUACUUACACUAAGGUAAGAAAUACCAAUUUUGGAGAAAAUCUAGAAUUUUUAUUUGGGUUUUUGAAUGAGUAUAGUUAACGGGAAUAAUUGUAGAGAUGAAAUAUUCAUUUGAAGGCAUGAAUUUAUGGAGCAAGAUGGAAAAUUAAAUUGGUUAAAUUAUAAUUAUUAGUUUUAAUAGUUUGGAAGAAGGAAUUAUUUUUAUGUUUGGAGAGAAGAUUAUUUUGAUGAAUUAGAUUUUAGUGUAAGGGCUGGAAGGUAGAAUUAGUUUCAAUUGUGAAGGAAAUUAAAGAAUAUAUCCAAUUGUCGAGAAGUCAAGUUCUAGUAUUUUGUAGUUAAAAGUUAAGGAUACUUCCUAGAGUGGUUGUUAAAUUAGUUAUUUUGUAUCAUAUUUCAGGAGAUGACGAGAAGAUUGAAAUCAUGAUUAGUCCUUAACUUGGUGAGUGGAUAUAUAAAAUUAUUUUUCAGAAAUUAGUCUUCAUUAAAUAUAAACUAAAUCAAAAAAUUUAUUAUUUCAUAUAGUUGAUUUGACAGCAUGAUUUUCAAAAUAAAGUUGAUUUAUAAACAGUUGUUUUUAAAGUUAAAUUCAGUUCAAUUAAAUCAUUUCAUUAGCAUACUAUUUCAGUAUCAAAUAUUUCAACGUAUUUAAAGUUAUUUUUAAAACCACCAGAAAGUACUCAGGUGAUUUUACCUAGUCUGCACUCUUGCGAAUGUGUUUCCACAGUGUACGACUAAUUAUGGUUAUUUUACCCGCUCUGCACUAUUAUGAAUGUGUUUCCGUAGUGUAUGACCAGAUUAUCAGAAGUCUUUGAGACCCACUCUCGUACACACAUAGGCUUUGGGCCUUGUACUAUGAUGAUUAGCCUUUGAGACAGCUCUACGUAUGUAUGACCAAACUAUCAGAUUGUCAGAUUUGAAUAGCUUUGCCUUGUACAUCGAGAUUACUUUGGACAUGAGUAAGGUUAUUCAUUUGGUACCUUUUUGAUGUGAUUUUCAGUAAUAUACAGCUUAUCAGAUUUCAGACCACAGAAUUUAGCUUAUUCAGUCUGUAGAGUAAUAAUUUCAGCUUAUAGUACUGUGAAAGGGUAUUUUCACUUAUACUUACUGAUAUCAGAUUAUUUAUAUUUAUUAUACUUUAAAGUUGCUUAUCAAGGAUGAAGAAUAAAGAAUUUUAUGAUAUAUUCAUGUUUAGUUUUAAAAAAUGUUACUAGAUUUCAGAAUUUUAUAAAGUUUUAAUAGCCCAAUAAUUUAAAGAAAAUAUUCAUAAACAAGAAAAGUAUACUUAUUUGCAAACCAUUCACUCAUUGAGUUACAAGCUCAUGUUUUGCCACCCUUUUUUUAGCAGAUAGCAGCAGAGUUGAGCAUCCUUGGAGCCUGUCGAUCCACCGAACUAAGCCACACACAUUGCCAUUAUUUGUAUGACUCAUUUUGUCAAUCUAUAGAAUUUAUAUCUUUUUUUUGACACACAUGUAUGUUUGUCGAAAAAAUUAAUUAGCAAGUCAUGUAUCCAUAUCUUGGGCUUACUGCAUAUUUGGUAUCUUUAGUGUUUUUGGGGUCUUUUGUUUGUAAAGCAUAGUAAAUAUCAACUUGCCAGCAUUUAAUUUUGAAUAAUUUGUAUUUUGAGGGACUAGAAUUUUGAAUAAUUUGUAUUUUGAGGGACUAGUGUAUCCUAUUUUAAAUUAUAUGAACGGAUUUGAAAAAAUUGGUUCUUGUUUAAAUGGUUUUAGUUCAUAUUUCAGGAAAAGCUCUGUCAAAAUGUUGUUAAAAAUAUUUUUCAGUCAAGUUGCCUUGGUAGUAUGUCCGGUAUUUAGCUGGUAUCUACCAUCGGUGCAUGACACGUGUUGAGUCCACUAAGGUGAUUUGGGAGAGGUCGUGUCAUGAUAUAUGUCCACGAAGACUCUAGACUAAGAAUUAUUCAUGGGGAUUUGAUAGUUAGCAACAUCCAUGAAUCCCAAAAUAUCUUAUUUUGGUCUCGCCAGGAUUUUUGGAGUAGUCCAAAACGAAGAAAACACCUAUGGAGUAGUUGGAACCUAGUGAUUUAUAAUCACACACCUAAAUGUUUGUAGACAAAUGACAGAGAUGACAAAUUAAAGGAAGGGCACUUCAGCCUUGACUUUUCUGAAUGUCCGAUUGCAAUGGGCAUAAGUCACCAGAAUAUGCAAUGGAAGGGCACUUUCAAUAAUGUCUAAUGUUUACAGUUUGGGGCUUUUACUGUUGGAGAUCAUCUGUGGCAGGAAGAAUAGCAGUUAUUUUCAAGACAAUACGAUGAAUUUGACUGGAUAUGUAAGUAUUUGCAUCUUUAAAAUCUAAACUGAAAUCAUUGCUUUAUUAUCAAGUUAUGCUCCAAAAAAUUCUUUGGGCUUGAUAGAACGAUGAAGACAUUGAUUGGAGUUAAACAGAGUGAAAUUAUUGUAGGUAAGUACAACUGAUUUUCAUCUCUCUAUUUCAGGUUUGGGACUUGUAGAGAGAAAAAGAGCAUUGGAUAUAGUAGAUUCAUCAGUCGACAACUCUUACGAAGACAACAAAGAUUUGAGGUGCAUUCUUGUUGGUCUUUUGUGCGUGCAAGAAUGUGCUCCUGAUCAGCCCACGAUGUCAGUAAUAGUUUUCAUGCUACAUACUGGAACAACUCUCAUCCUAAAGCAAACUUCAUCUAUCAUCAAGAAAGAUAGUACUACUCUAUACUCAUCACCAGCUAGUUUAAAAAUCAAAUAUGCGAAUAAUAUGUCAGUUAUCGUGGUUGAAGCUCCCUAAAGGCUUCCUGUAAAUACUUUCCUUUUUUAAUGUAGUUCAAGGGGUGUAUAUUAGCCCAAUAUGAGGCAAAAGGGGAAAAAAAUCAAAAAACAAAAAAAAAAAACAAAAACAAAAAACAAAAACAAAAUCUGUGCCAACAUAAAUGUUCCUUGUAUUUGACACUAUUGAUGCAUAGAGUUGAUGUAUACAUUCAG